Clupea harengus (Atlantic herring) is the source of this 1933-nucleotide long non-coding RNA. Lineage: Eukaryota; Metazoa; Chordata; Actinopteri; Clupeiformes; Clupeidae. The record is from Ensembl.
UGUCUGUGUGAGAGGAGAAAGACGUGUGACCUUUGGUUGUUGAUUGCGUAGUCUGGUGGUUAAAUAUUUAUCUUGGACUGCAGGCCUGGGUGCUGUAGACGGAGAUUGUGACAGACGAACUGCAGAAGAAUUAUUUCAUGGGGAGAUGCCAGGACAUUGCCAGCCAAGGUGCCUAGAGAGAGAGAGAGAGUGAGAGAGAGAGAGAGAGAGAGAGAGAGAGAGAGAGUACUGUUGUGUGGAUUGAUCCCUUCUCUAAGGCGGAGAAAGAUAGACACUUAUUAGCAGACAGCCAGAGAGGUCCAGGCAGACGUGGUCACCUCAUUUCAAAGAUCCUGUGCAGGCCAUCAUCGGUGAUCCAGACAUUCAGAUGACAUGCAGCCACAGGUAUGCCUUUUACAAUACAGGAAACGGAAUAAAUAAAUACUGUAUAUCUAUAUCAUAUAUCUCUAUCACAUCUGCACUAACCACCACUAUUGCUGCUUACUGUUCAUAUUACUUAUGUCUUAUACCAUACUGUAUAUAUUCUAUUUAUCUAUUUUUAUAUUACCACUUUGCACAUACUCUGCACUCUUCUGAUUUUGCACUUCUGGUUAGAUGCUAACUGCAUUUCGUUGCCUCAGUACUUGUACUCUGUGCAAUGACAAUAAAGUUGAAUCUAAUCUAAUCUAAUCUAAAUACAGGGUUUAUGAAUCUACUUUAAUCUAGAGAUCUGUCCACUCCCUUCAACUAAUUGCUAAAGAAAAACCAUUACAGUUUUGGGCAUUGGGCAAAACACCAAAGUGUCCCUUGUAAUUAACUGACAGUGAUGUCAGUGAUACCUUUGAAAGCUUCCAAAACUGUUGUUUCUUCGACCAAAUUUGGCCGAAAACCUGCAGCGACAGACCAAGAUGUCCCAGCCUGAAUGAAAAAGGGAGCUAUUUAUGGCUUUUAGUCUUGUAUUUCCAUGCGAAUGCCUCAGUCCCUGAGCUUCACAAUGGCAUCUCGCUGAUUUUUACGAGAUACAGUUUCACACUCGGUGAGAAUCCCAGGAUCUUCCCAUGACCCCCACAGCUCCGGCGGCCCUGGUGCACAAACAUGCCGGAGUCAGGGGGGGGGGGGGGCGGCACCCAGGGAUGGACUGACAAGCGAGCGGUCGCCAUGACGACAAGGGGGGGGGGGCGUGACACAGAGCUCGGACAGAGCUCCCCUCUGAUGGUUGACGGGGGCGACCCCCUUCUGACCCCCACAGCCCAGGCAGCGCCUCUUGGCCUGGGAGGGCGAGGGAGAGUGCCCCCCCACCCCGAAUAGUCUUCUAAUGGGGCCAUAAUGAGCCGCUCCAGUUUCACCCCCCUGACUGCUUAGCCACAAUGGGGCCUUUCUCCUUUCGCCCUGGCUAAAGAGACGAUGGAGAGGCUGGAUCGCCUCUUCCUACCUUCACCACUUUAAAUAAAUUACAGCCUCACCAAAACCCUGGACACUAAGGGCCAAUUAGGCUCCAGAGAAAAGGAGACAAGCCUCACCUAAGGAAGGAGGAGAGAAGUGUGUGUUUGUGCUGUGCUCGUGUAACAAUUCAUUCUUUCUGUACGUGUCCUUAUUAGUCUCCUUCUCUUUAACCUGAGUUGAGGAGAUGAAGAGAUGAAGAGAUGAAGAGAUGUGGCCACCGAGGGGUCUGUUCUCUCCUGUAACUGUUGCUCUCGCUCUCUUGCUCAUCCUCAGCGGCAGGUGGAGGUGCACAACCAUCUAAAUGGCUCACGGAUCGUGUUCUCAGACGGGGGCCCUCAGGGUGGACACCCCCAGCAGCAGCAGCAGCAGCUGCUCACAGCUCCAGAGCUGACCCAGGAAGUAGUGGUGAUCUCCCCUGGUCUGCCCACCCCCCCUCUCAGCCCUUUCCGGAUGGUCCAGCCUCCCUCCACACAAGACCAGGCCAGUAGCAGCUUGAAGCAUAAUCACUCUG